Amborella trichopoda is the source of this 1305-nucleotide long non-coding RNA. RefSeq lists it as uncharacterized. The record is from RefSeq and is a predicted model, not a curated record. NCBI's taxonomy places the organism in Eukaryota, Viridiplantae, Streptophyta, Magnoliopsida, Amborellales, Amborellaceae.
AGAGUAGUGUAGUUCGGGUAUCUAAUAAGGGAAAGCUUUCUAUAUUCCCCAUAUCAUAGAAGUUUUAUGUUCCCCCACUUUUUUAGAUGUUGAUUUCACAGAAGUUCUAUGUUUUCGACCUUUUUAGUUGUUGAUUUAAAAUGGAGAGCUCACAUUCAUUUACUCAAGUUGUCAAAAAAUGGCGGUACGAGGGCAACUGGUAACCCAUUUUGAAAUAAGUCUGUACUAGAGAGAGAGUAACCUAUUUUAAGGAGAGAGAGAGCAAGGGAGAAGAAGAUUUAUUGGAGGAGAGAUAGAGCAUGCAAAUUAGAGGGAGAGAGGGUUUUUUGGAGGAGAGAGAGAGCACGCAGGUCAGAGGGACUAAAACCCACCUCCAAAAAGUUAUCUCCAUUACCCAUACUCCAUUACCACCACCCCAUGACCUCAUCUUCUCUCUCUUGAAGAAAUGCUUGAAAGAACCCUAAACGAAGGGUUUCUUGGAGGAGAGAGAGAGCACAUAGAUUAGAGGGAGAAAGGGUUUCUUGGAGAGCAGAGAGAGCACGCACCAUUAAAAGAGGGAGAGAGGGGUUCUUGGGGAGAAAUUUUUUUUUACAGAGGAUUAGGCAGGAAGAUCCUAAAGAGAGAGAGUCCAAAGGUAGGCAAGAGGCAAUACGGUCAUCCCGAAAACAGGGUUUGCUCUUCGUCGUGCCGAGGCCUCUAGGUCAGCACCCAAGGUUCUCAUCGUCGCCGCUAAUUUGCAGAUCCUAGGUCUGACAUGGAAAUUCCCACAAUGGAGCCUGAAGCUGAGCGAAACAAUAUGUAGACUUCGCUAUGUACACCAUUUGCUUUAUUGAUGUUUGGAUGACAAUGCAAGAAGUCAAAGCAGAGGCCAUAACUUUAAGAACAAGACUGGAGUUUUUUGUAUAAGCCCAAUGCUCAACCCUCAAGCUCAUCAUCUCAGAAAUUUUUUGCAAGCCCAAUAUUCAACAAUCAAGCUCAUCAUCUUAAAAAUGUUUUGCAAGCCUAAUGCUCAACAAUCAAGCUCAUCAUCUUAGAAAUUUUUGCAAGCCCAAUGCUCAACAAUCAAGCUCAUCAUCAGAGAAAUCUUUUGUAACCCCAUUGCUAGUGGAGAAAACUUUAUCUUGGAAUGGAGGUUCGGAAUGGAAUUUUUGUAUAGCUUCCAUAUAUUGCAAAUUCAUGUUGCAAGUAGAAUUUUGUAUAGUUUCAAAGUGCAUGUUGAAUAUCUUCAAAUGGAAUUUUUGUAUAGCUUAAGUUCCUCACACUUCUUAGACCAGAACAUGCUAUCCACUCAUUCAAGAAAUUUAA